AACCAGCACCUCAAGUGGUCAGGAGGAUUAUUGGGCCUAAAGCAUCCGUAGCCGGCUCUGUAAGUUUUCGGUUAAAUCUAUAUGCUCAACGUAUAGGCUGCCGAAAAUACUGCACAGCUAGGGAAUGGGAGAGGUAGACGGUACUCGGUAGGAAGGGGUAAAAUCCUUUGAUCUAUCGAUGACCACCUGUGGCGAAAGCGGCUGGCUGGGGCCACUCUGACGCUGAGGCGCGAAAGCGUGGGGAGCAAACAGG
This 253-nucleotide ribosomal RNA is filed under the name uncultured archaeon. Its description in RNAcentral is "partial 16S ribosomal RNA". It matches the Rfam family "Archaeal small subunit ribosomal RNA", at positions 474 to 727 of the family's 1478-position model. The record is from RNAcentral.